RNAcentral lists this ribosomal RNA (449 nucleotides) under uncultured bacterium. RNAcentral describes it as "partial 16S ribosomal RNA". It matches the Rfam family "Bacterial small subunit ribosomal RNA", at positions 29 to 523 of the family's 1533-position model. The record is from RNAcentral.
AACGAACGCUGGCGGCAUGCCUAACACAUGCAAGUCGAACGAGAUCUUCGGGUCUAGUGGCGCACGGGUGCGUAACGCGUGGGAAUCUGCCCUUUGGUUCGGAAUAACAGUUGGAAACGACUGCUAAUACCGGAUGAUGACGAAAGUCCAAAGAUUUAUCGCCAGAGGAUGAGCCCGCGUGGGAUUAGCUAGUUGGUGUGGUAAAGGCGCACCAAGGCGACGAUCCUUAGCUGGUCUGAGAGGAUGAUCAGCCACACUGGGACUGAGACACGGCCCAGACUCCUACGGGAGGCAGCAGUGGGGAAUAUUGGACAAUGGGCGAAAGCCUGAUCCAGCAAUGCCGCGUGAGUGAUGAAGGCCUUAGGGUUGUAAAGCUCUUUUACCCGGGAUGAUAAUGGCAGUACCGGGAGAAUAAGCUCCGGCUAACUCCGUGCCAGCCGCCGCAGUAA